RNAcentral lists this ribosomal RNA (220 nucleotides) under uncultured Glomus. RNAcentral describes it as "partial small subunit ribosomal RNA". It matches the Rfam family "Eukaryotic small subunit ribosomal RNA", at positions 591 to 817 of the family's 1831-position model. The record is from RNAcentral. Lineage: Eukaryota; Fungi; Glomeromycota; Glomeromycetes; Glomerales; Glomeraceae.
CCAAUAGCGUAUAUUAAAGUUGUUGCAGUUAAAAAGCUCGUAGUUGAAUUUCGGGAUCAAUUUGUCGGUCGUGCUUCGGUACGUACUGGUAUUAUUGGUUUCUACCUUCUGAAGAACCUUGAUGUCAUUAAUUUGGUGUCUUGGGAAAUCAGGACUGUUACUUUGAAAAAAUUAGAGUGUUUAAAGCAGGCAUACGCUUGAAUACAUUAGCAUGGAAUAA